RNAcentral lists this transfer RNA (72 nucleotides) under Ovis aries (sheep). It matches the Rfam family "tRNA". From Rfam's summary of the family: Transfer RNA (tRNA) molecules are approximately 80 nucleotides in length. Their secondary structure includes four short double-helical elements and three loops (D, anti-codon, and T loops). Lineage: Eukaryota; Metazoa; Chordata; Mammalia; Artiodactyla; Bovidae. The record is from Rfam by way of RNAcentral.
UCCCUGGCGGCUCAGAUGGUAGAGAAUCUGCCUGCAGUGCAGGAGACCCAGGUUCGAUCCCUGGGUUGGGAA